This 497-nucleotide ribosomal RNA is filed under the name uncultured bacterium. Its description in RNAcentral is "partial 16S ribosomal RNA". It matches the Rfam family "Bacterial small subunit ribosomal RNA", at positions 28 to 507 of the family's 1533-position model. The record is from RNAcentral.
GACGAACGCUGGCGGCGUGCCUAAUACAUGCAAGUUGAGCGAUGAAGAUUGGUGCUUGCACCAAUUUGAAGAGCAGCGAACGGGUGAGUAACGCGUGGGGAAUCUGCCUUUGAGCGGGGGACAACAUUUGGAAACGAAUGCUAACACCGCAUAACAACUUUAAACAUAAGUUUUAAGUUUGAAAGAUGCAAUUGCAUCACUCAAAGAUGAUCCCGCGUUGUAUUAGCUAGUUGGUGAGGUAAAGGCUCACCAAGGCGAUGAUACAUAGCCGACCUGAGAGGGUGAUCGGCCACAUUGGGACUGAGACACGGCCCAAACUCCUACGGGAGGCAGCAGUAGGGAAUCUUCGGCAAUGGACGAAAGUCUGACCGAGCAACGCCGCGUGAGUGAAGAAGGUUUUCGGAUCGUAAAACUCUGUUGGUAGAGAAGAACGUUGGUGAGAGUGGAAAGCUCAUCAAGUGACGGUAACUACCCAGAAAGGGACGGCUAACUACGUG